This is a small nucleolar RNA of Solanum verrucosum, 215 nucleotides long. RefSeq annotates it as small nucleolar RNA U3. NCBI's taxonomy places the organism in Eukaryota, Viridiplantae, Streptophyta, Magnoliopsida, Solanales, Solanaceae. The transcript has a single exon. The record is from RefSeq and is a predicted model, not a curated record.
ACGACCUUACUUGAACAGAAUUUGUUUUAUAGGCUCGUACCACUGUAUCCUCGAUUUCUAAGGAAACAGGAAACCAAGUCUGGUGGAUGAAUCGUGGCCAUUAGAUUAGAGCGAGUUUAACAGCAUCCAUGGCGAAGGUCAUGGUGCGAUAGAUGAUCAUGUUCUCAGCUCUGAUUUAUGGAGCUUGGGAUGGUCUAAAGUAUGUCUGACAGACU